CUAUGGCCAAAUCUCCUACUAUAAACUGAAUAAAACCAAAACACAAGCGCUACCGAUUAAUCUACCAACACAACUAACACAACAACUACGCCUUACAUUACAUUCGACUGGAGACAAAAUUAUAUAACCUAACUAGGAGUAAAUUUAACACUACACAGACAGAACAUGCUGUCCCUUAAUUACACACCAAUUACACAUACAAAAUGGAAAGAUGUUAAACUGUCAUGGUUGGG
This is a non-coding RNA of Pelobates cultripes (western spadefoot toad), 233 nucleotides long. The record is from the annotation of a GenBank genome assembly. Lineage: Eukaryota; Metazoa; Chordata; Amphibia; Anura; Pelobatidae.